CGCGGGCUGACGGGAAGUGUGGUGUUUAGAGUGUUUCUUGUUUAAUGGAUUGCUGUCCAAGUCCUUCUUGACUGAGGCUUGAUGGCCCAGAGAGGGUGUCAGGCCUGUAGGGCAGUAGUUUAUUAAGCAUUAAACACUUGAAGAGUCGGGUUGUUUGAGAGUACAACCCAAAGCAGGUGGUAAAUUCCAUCUAAGGCUAAAUAUGAGUACGAGUCCGAUAGCGAACAAGUACCGUGAGGGAAAGUUGCAAAGAACUUUGAAGAGAGAGUUCAAGAGUACGUGAAACCGCCUGGAGUGAAGCGGAUCAACCCACAUGUUUGCAAGUUAGAAUCAGUUGUUCGACUAGGGCAUGUAUAGUGCAAUUGCGCCUGCUGCGAUGUGGGUGAGUUGUGCUGUGCGUGUGAUUGUGAGACCUAGUUGGGUAGCCUAUUUCUAGCGAGCAGCGAGUCACGAAGUGUUUCUUGGCAUGCAGUGCAACAUAGAUUGGUAGUCGAUCGAAUCGACGAAGGUCUGUGUUGGUUGCAAUGUUAAGGGACACAGGGCAGCUUGUUCUCAGCUGUAGUCGUUUACGCUGUGAACUGGGGCACGUUUGGGCAGUAGGUAUACAUUGGACUUGUGGGACUGCUUCGCAGUGUCAUGGGGACAGUGUGUACCUGGCUGUUCAGCUUGUCCAGAGAAUCGAGUAAAACGCUGUUCUGUGGCUAGUUGGUAAUUGAUCCGUCCCGUCUUGAAACACGGACCAAGGAGUAUAGCAUGCAGGCGAGUCUGAGGGUCUUGCAAAACCCGAAGGCGCAGUGAAAGCAAAGGCUGCCACGAGGCAGCUGAGAUGUGAUCCAACAAGGGCGAGAGCCCUGUUGGCGCAACAUCGUCUCGUCGUGUUCCCGUGUGGAAGCGGCGAAGAUUGAGCCUGUAUGCUGUGACCCGAAAGAUGGUGAACUAUGCCAGAGUAGGGCGAAGCCAGAGGAAACUCUGGUGGAGGCCCGAAGCGAUUCUAACGUGCAAAUUGAUCGUCAGACUUUGGUAUAGGGGCGAAAGACUAAUCGAACCAUCUAGUAGCUGGUUCCCUCCGAAGUUUCUCUCAGGAUAGCUGGCA
RNAcentral lists this ribosomal RNA (1093 nucleotides) under Paracatenula sp. 'rolli' Li. Its description in RNAcentral is "eukaryotic LSU rRNA". It matches the Rfam family "Eukaryotic large subunit ribosomal RNA", at positions 127 to 987 of the family's 3401-position model. The record is from RNAcentral. Lineage: Eukaryota; Metazoa; Platyhelminthes; Paracatenulidae.